UGUCUACAUAUCAUAGCUUUCAAAACCGAGGUCCAGUUCACAACAUUAUAGAAAAUUAACAGGUAUCUCUCAAUACAUUGAUAGGUCAUAAAUUAAUAGGAUGCAACAAAUUACAUGGAAAUACAGUCAGCCAGGUCACACAAGCCAUCUAGCCACAGGUGGACAGAAAGAUAGAUAGAAGAAGUCCCACCAUCCUUAUUGCUGAGUUUGAAAACAAUUCAAACAGAUAAGCUAACACAGUUUGUACGAAGCAAGCAACUGGUUUGAUAGUAUAAUGUUGCAUUAUGACUUAUGAGAGUUUCCAGUCAGCCAGUUUAUCAGCUACUACUACUACCAGUCUGCUACAACAAUGAUGAUAAAUUGCCAUUCAGCACAAGAAAAGCCUGAGAUAAUUGAGACUGAUCAUUCAUAAACAACACCUAAGAUUGCAUCGGUUCAGACGAGGAACAACACAGUGAAACUUGGUUGUUCUGAGGAAAGCUGAAACUUGGUUGUUCUGAGGAACAGCACAAAUAAUAGUCGGUGAAACUUUUAAACCUAAUUUAUAUUUGGUCUAGAUCAGGCAUUCAUGGAUGAGAAAUAACCGACAUCGUGGCGGCACUAAGAUACUAAUGAAGAUAUAGUGGUCCUUGUCCAAUGUUGUUAUAUAGUCACACUAAGAUAAGAUACUUCAUAAUAAGCAAUUGCCAGUCAGGAGGAAGUAGACAACUAACCUGC
This 717-nucleotide long non-coding RNA is filed under the name Setaria italica (foxtail millet). RNAcentral's name for it is "long non-coding RNA (SITA_LNC002672)". Lineage: Eukaryota; Viridiplantae; Streptophyta; Magnoliopsida; Poales; Poaceae. The record is from RNAcentral.